Molecule: non-coding RNA, 202 nt
Filed under: Jeotgalibaca sp.
Lineage: Bacteria; Bacillati; Bacillota; Bacilli; Lactobacillales; Carnobacteriaceae
Description: T-box sequence
Rfam family: T-box leader
About the family: Uncharged tRNA acts as the effector for transcription antitermination of genes in the T-box leader family. T-boxes are found upstream of many aminoacyl-tRNA synthetase genes and some amino acid biosynthetic genes usually in Gram-positive bacteria.
Source: RNAcentral
AUAAACGCUUUGAAGGAAUACAGUAGGAAUAAGGAUUUUGUAUGAAGAGAGAGCCGGCAAUGGUGGGAACCGGUACACCCUUAUUUUGAAUUACAAUUCUGGAGCUACUUGUUAUGAGCGGCUAACAUACGUUACAUGUUAGAGUGGUUUCAUUUUUUAUGAAACAAUUUGGGUGGUAACACGGUAAUCAAUCGUCCCUGGC